GACGAACGCUGGCGGCGUGCUUAACACAUGCAAGUCGAACGAAGUGGCGAACGGGUGAGUAAUACGUGGGUAACCUGCCCUCCUUUUUGGGAUAAGCCUUGGAAACGGGGUCUAAUACCGAAUAAAGGGGGAUGGGCUCGCGGCCUAUCAGCUUGUUGGUGGGGUGAUGGGCUACCAAGGCGGUGCCGGGUAGCCGGCCGGAGAGGGUGACCGGCCACAUUGCGACGGAGAUACGGCCCAGACGAGUACGAGAGGGAGCUGUGGGGGAUAGUGCACAAGGGGCGAAAGGCAGAUGCAGCGACGCCGCGUGGGGGAUGAGGUCGUUCGGGUUGUAAACCUCGGUCGCUAGCGAACGGGUAGGUGGAUAAGAAGCGCCGGCUAACUACGUGCCAGCAGCCGCGGUAAUAC
This 408-nucleotide ribosomal RNA is filed under the name uncultured bacterium. RNAcentral describes it as "partial 16S ribosomal RNA". It matches the Rfam family "Bacterial small subunit ribosomal RNA", at positions 28 to 526 of the family's 1533-position model. The record is from RNAcentral.